UACGAACCGAGCGAACGUUGUUCGGAAUCCCUGGGCUUAAAGGGCGCGUAGGCGGGCCAUCAAGUCAGGGGUGAAAUCCUCCAGCUCAACUGGAGAACAGCUUUUGAUACUGGUGGUCUCGAGUGGGGUAGGGGCAUGUGGAACUUCCGGUGGAGCGGUGAAAUGCGUAGAUAUCGGAAGGAACGCCGGUGGCGAAAGCGACGUGCUGGACCCUUUCUGACGCUGAGGCGCGAAAGCCAGGGGAGCAAACGGG
RNAcentral lists this ribosomal RNA (253 nucleotides) under uncultured bacterium. RNAcentral describes it as "partial 16S ribosomal RNA". It matches the Rfam family "Bacterial small subunit ribosomal RNA", at positions 524 to 776 of the family's 1533-position model. The record is from RNAcentral.